GACGAACGCUGGCGGCGUGCCUAAUACAUGCAAGUCGAACGCUUCUUUUUCACCGAACUUCGGUUCAUCGAAAAAGAGGAGUGGCGAACGGGUGAGUAACACGUGGGUAACCUGCCCAUCAGAAGGGGAUAACACUUGGAAACAGGUGCUAAUACCGUAUAAUGCUUUUUCUCGCAUGAGAGCAAGCUGAAAGGCGCUUUUGCGUCACUGAUGGAUGGACCCGCGGUGCAUUAGCUAGUUGGUGAGGUAACGGCUCACCAAGGCCACGAUGCAUAGCCGACCUGAGAGGGUGAUCGGCCACACUGGGACUGAGACACGGCCCAGACUCCUACGGGAGGCAGCAGUAGGGAAUCUUCGGCAAUGGACGAAAGUCUGACCGAGCAACGCCGCGUGAGUGAAGAAGGUUUUCGGAUCGUAAAACUCUGUUGUUAGAGAAGAACAAGGAUGAGAGUAAAAUGUCAUCCCUUGA
RNAcentral lists this ribosomal RNA (469 nucleotides) under Enterococcus sp. oral taxon A43. Its description in RNAcentral is "bacterial SSU rRNA". It matches the Rfam family "Bacterial small subunit ribosomal RNA", at positions 28 to 472 of the family's 1533-position model. Lineage: Bacteria; Bacillati; Bacillota; Bacilli; Lactobacillales; Enterococcaceae. The record is from RNAcentral.